This 29-nucleotide small RNA is filed under the name Bombyx mori (domestic silkworm). RNAcentral describes it as "ovarian small RNA-4050". The record is from RNAcentral. Lineage: Eukaryota; Metazoa; Arthropoda; Insecta; Lepidoptera; Bombycidae.
UUCGUCUAUGGAAAGCCUAUACGGUCGUU